Beta vulgaris subsp. vulgaris (sugar beet) is the source of this 1033-nucleotide long non-coding RNA. RefSeq lists it as uncharacterized. The transcript is spliced from 2 exons. The record is from RefSeq and is a predicted model, not a curated record. Lineage: Eukaryota; Viridiplantae; Streptophyta; Magnoliopsida; Caryophyllales; Amaranthaceae.
UUAAAUUUUGAUAGUAUUCAUCGAGACAAAUCUAACAAGAUUUCACUUGACUAUGUUUUUUCCUUUAUAUAAUGACGAUAAAUUGGAAUCGAAAUUAAUGGUUUCAUUUCACCCAAUGUUUAAUUUAAAGCAGAACCAAGAAAGCACUACUCCUAUUGGCUAUUACUCCCUCCGAUCUUUAUUAGUUUACCCUUUUUUUUGCAGAGAGUUUUAGGUGAAAUAAUGUUGUGGGUCAUAGAAAAAAAGAAAAACUAAUAUUUUAUAUUAAAGUUGGAUGUAUGUGUGAUGAAAAGUUAGUGGUCUCAUUUCAAAUAGAAACAAAAAAAGGGUAAACUACUAAGUGACAUCCAAAAAAAGAAUAGGAGUAAAUAUUUAAUAUAAAUCCUAAACCAACAAAACAAAACAAAACAAAAAAUAAUUCUAUUCCUCCCUCUCAGCUUUAUCCCCCUAGUUUAUAACGGCUAAUUUUCUUCCUCUCAAACUAAUCAAACUAUCAAAGUAUCCCAACAAUGGCGAUACAAAAUUCAAUUUUUUUUUUUAAAAAAAUAACAUUUCUAUAGUUUGUCUUAUAGAUUGGACUCCCUCAAUUUGACCCCAAAACUCCUCAACAAUGGCGUCGGAAAUCCCUAAACCCCCAAUCUCAACUUCAAUGCCGACAAAUCCUCGACGAUCGCUGGUUCAUAAUCAUUAUUUUCAAUGGAGUUUGAUCGACGAAGAUUGAAGGAAGAUGUUGGAGGAUCAGGUAGCGUAUUUACUGCAAAGGUUUUUGGGGAAUUAUGUCAGAGGUCUCAACAAAGAAGCUCUCAAAAUCAGCGUUUGGAAUGGUUUGAUCAUUUCCUACUUCUUAUCAAUGUUUACUUAUUUCGUUGUUGUUCAAUUUGCGUUUAUUUGAUUUCAAUGUUCGUAGUAAACUUAAUGUGAGGUUUUAGCAGUUAAAUGCUAAUGGUUUCGGAAGGUAAUAAAUAAUAAUGGACUGUGAGAAUUGAAUUUUUACUUUGUCUUUAAAUGGAAAUUGAGGCGCUAGAUUGUGUAA